Poecile atricapillus (Black-capped chickadee) is the source of this 242-nucleotide long non-coding RNA. RefSeq lists it as uncharacterized. The record is from RefSeq and is a predicted model, not a curated record. The transcript has 3 exons. Lineage: Eukaryota; Metazoa; Chordata; Aves; Passeriformes; Paridae.
GACAGGUGAGGGACAGGUGAGGACAGGUGAGGACAGGUGAGGGACAGGGUCAGGACAGGUGAGAACAGGUGAGGGGUCAGGACAGGUGAAGGGUCAGGACAGGUGAGGGCCCCCCAGUGGAUUAAGGACCCCCCACACCUGAGCCAGGUGUCCAUCCCCAGGUACCCCCAGGUACCCCCAGGUGUCCCCAGGUAUCCCCAGGUGUCCCCAGGUGUCCCCAGCUGUCCCCAGCUGUCCCCAGG